GAUGAAGAACGUAGCGAAAUGCGAUAACUAAUGUGAAUUGCAGAAUUCCGUGAAUCAUCGAGUCUUUGAACGCACAUUGCGCCCCCUGGUAUUCCGGGGGGCAUGCCUGUCCGAGCGUCAUUGCUGCCCAUCAAGCACGGCUUGUGUGUUGGGUCCUCGUCCCCCCCGGGGGACGUGCCCGAAAGGCAGCGGCGGCACCGCGUCCGGUCCUCGAGCGUAUGGGGCUUUGUCACCUGCUCUGCAGGCCCGGCCGGCGCUGGCCGACGCGAAAGCAACCAUUUUUUCUCCAGGUUGACCUCGGAUCAGGUAGGGAUACCCGCUGAACUUAAGCAUAUCAAUAAGCGGAGGA
RNAcentral lists this unclassified non-coding RNA (349 nucleotides) under soil metagenome. RNAcentral describes it as "partial contains 5.8S ribosomal RNA, internal transcribed spacer 2, and large subunit ribosomal RNA". The stretch from base 1 to 120 matches the Rfam family "5.8S ribosomal RNA", at positions 35 to 154 of the family's 154-position model. The record is from RNAcentral.